GACGAACGCUGGCGGCGUGCUUAACACAUGCAAGUCGAACGGAAAGGCCCUGCUUGCAGGGUACUCGAGUGGCGAACGGGUGAGUAACACGUGGGUGAUCUGCCCUGCACUUCGGGAUAAGCCUGGGAAACUGGGUCUAAUACCGGAUAGGAGCCAUUUUUAGUGUGAUGGUUGGAAAGUUUUUUCGGUGUAGGAUGAGCUCGCGGCCUAUCAGCUUGUUGGUGGGGUAAUGGCCUACCAAGGCGGCGACGGGUAGCCGGCCUGAGAGGGUGGAUGGCCACAUUGGGACUGAGAUACGGCCCAGACUCCUACGGGAGGCAGCAGGGGGGAAUAUUGCACAAUGGGCGCAAGCCUGAUGCAGCGACGCCGCGUGGGGGAUGACGGCCUUCGGGUUGUAAACUCCUUUCGCUAGGGACGAAGCUUUUUGUGACGGUACCUAGAUAAGAAGCACCGGCUAACUACGUG
This 465-nucleotide ribosomal RNA is filed under the name uncultured bacterium. RNAcentral describes it as "partial 16S ribosomal RNA". It matches the Rfam family "Bacterial small subunit ribosomal RNA", at positions 28 to 507 of the family's 1533-position model. The record is from RNAcentral.